This is a long non-coding RNA of Cercocebus atys (sooty mangabey), 3467 nucleotides long. RefSeq lists it as uncharacterized. Lineage: Eukaryota; Metazoa; Chordata; Mammalia; Primates; Cercopithecidae. The record is from RefSeq and is a predicted model, not a curated record. The transcript is spliced from 2 exons.
AUUUUUUUUUAUCCAAUCCACUGAUGGUGGGCACCUAGGUCGAUUCUAUGUCUUUGCUAUUGUGAUUAGUGCUGCAUUGUACAUAUACUUCUAUAUUCUAGGACAACUUGCCGUCAAGAUAUUUGUACACAUAAAUGACCAUUGUUGUAAAACAUAGCAUCAUGUGUCUGUAUUUCAUGACUUAAAUGCUAUUUCAAAAGGACCUUAGUUUUUACUUAAACUCAAAACAUUUUUAUUUCUAUUUUUGCUUUAUGAUUUUUUAAGCUUACUGAAAAGUACAGAAAACAAUAAAUAUUCUCGUACUUCCCUCUUAUAUAAAAUGGUGCCACCAUCUUGUCACAUUUCCUUCAGAUUUUCUUACAACAGAACAAAGCUUACAGAGGUUGCUGAAACUCCACCUGUCCAUCCCAUUCACCUCUUUUCCUCUCUGAAUGUUUCUAUCUUUAAAUGUUCACACAAUGACAAAAAUCAUCUAACAACACUUCUCAGAACAUAUACAUGCCAGUUAGCUGUGCAUGACUGUGUUUAUAAUAUAUACUAUUACUUAUAUUGGAUUAUCAGUAUAUAUAUGUGUACACAUACACAUAUACACAUAUACACUUGUUUUGGGAAGAUUUAAACUUGUACUUAACUUUUUCAUUCAAAAAUAAGGUUUUCAAGAGCUGAGUGAGGUGCCUCAUGCAUCUGAUCCCAGCUAUUCACGAAGCUAAGGUGGGAGGAUAGCUUGAGCCCAGAAGUUCAAGGCCAGCCUGGGCAACAUAGCAAGUUUCUGUCUCUAAAAAACUAAAAAAUAAAGAAAGGGUAACAAUUUUUUUAAAAGUGAGCCAAAAGUAAUGUUUUGAGAGAUUCAACCAUAUUGAUGCUUGCAGUUUUAGUUUAUUUUAACUUGAGAAGAGAAUGUGGCUAUUAAAUUGCUGGUAAGAAGGUACAAAUAUCUAGUAGACCAAUUUGGAAGAAACAAAUAAAUUUGGGAGAAUGUAUAUCCUAUGGCCCAGCAAUUUCACUUCUCUGCAUGAGAAACUCUUACACAUGUGCACAAAAAUAUCUACAAGGUUGUUCGCAGCAAUGGCUUUAAUAGUGAAAACCUGGAAGUAAUUUAAGUGGCCCUCAUUAGUAACAUGGGCAAACAGUGGAAUAUUAUACAGCAGUGAAAAUAACAUUUUAAUAAAAUGAAUUAUAGUAAUGAGAAAAAUUGUCAAACUAUUAACCACAUAUAAAUCUACAAACAAUACUUGAUAAAAUAUGGGUGCAAAAAAUAUUUUUAAUAUUAGGCACUUUAUGAGCAAGAUGUUUUCUCUUAUACCCUAUUCAUCAUAAUUUUUACAUAAUCUAUUUCCUUUUUAAAUGAAUAUGUUGGGCUUGCAUGAGAUAAUUACAGAAGAAUAAUAAGACAUUUUCAAAAAAUAUGCAGGUUAAUAAAUGGGCAAGAUCUAUUUUGCAAUUUUUCUCCAACAUGUUUGUGUGAUGCUGAGUGGCAACUCUUUAUAUUAUCUCUUAGUGGGCCACAAUCAAAGAACUGCAUAAAUUAGUGUUAUUUAUGGGUUAUCUGCUUUAAGAAAAUCUGGCAUAUUAAAACAUAGACUUAAAAAUAUAUAGUAAGCUGGGGAUUUUUAAAAAUAGAGGUAUACUUGGAUUUAUAAUUGGAAACACCUUUGCAUAGGAACACUCCCAGCAUCUUAAAUAUGGCUUACUAUAUAAAAUUUAUUUUUUCAAAGCUUCAAGAAUACAUCUGUUUCAUAAAGAAGAAAAAUAUAUUCGUAGUAGUAAUUUUAGCACUAAAUAAUGAUUGACACUUCAAUGCCACAUAUUAGUAGCUCUAGUGAUAAAACUCUAUCAAAGAUGAAGAUAAUCAAUCAGUUUACUGCUCCCGCUUCCAAAGUCUGAUAUUUAUUUGAGGUUAAUCGUGGUAUCAUUCUUUAAUUUCAUAUCUUGUCAUGUUCAUCACUGUGAAGUUGAGGUAAAAUUCUUUUAACUCAUUCUGUAAAACUGUUAAGCUAUAAAUCAGAUGUUCGUUAAAGUCAAGUAGAGUUCAGUCUUAUGAUUUCAUUCUCCUCAAGAAUCAUUGAGCAAUCUUUUCCCUGUGAAACAAGUACUUCAAUGAGGAUUGAUUUUGCAGCUCAAAUAGGAUGGUUAUUUUUACUGGCCAUUCACCAUGUUCAUUUAUCCUAGAUUUUACCAGUUAUGCACUUCUGGGUACCAUCUGAACUGUGGAAGGAGCAAAUGGGAUGCCAGGGAAGAGGAAAGGGCCAUAUAGAAGUUAAAGGACACAAUAACUCAUGAAAUUAUCCAGUGAGAAUUCUGCAGGACUGCAUGCAGAGGUACUCAGUAAGUUAAUUUAGGCAACUGCAGUAAUGGCUUUCUUUGCUUAGCACGAUAUAUUAAAUAUUUUGCAAAAAAUAAAAUUACAUGUAGAAUGACAUAUGCCUAUAGAAAUUCUAUAAUUUGAUGGGUUCCUUCCUAAGGAAAAGGGGAUAUUAAUUAUUAUAAAUGAUAAAAAGUUUACUUCCAUUCAUGUAAAAUAUAAAAUUUCCUCUUUGCUUAGAAUUACCUUUUAAAAUAUGGAGUGUUACUAUCUGAUCUGUAUGUAUCUUAAUCCUAUUGCAAAUCUUUUGAUUUGGUGAUACAGCAAAGAAUAUGCUAUGUCUUUCCCUACCCCACUAAGUUUAUUACGUUUAAAAGAUAAUUAUAAUGCUAUUGCAUUAAAUGUAUAAGUUGUUUACAGAGAAAAUGUUACCUUUGUAAAUUUUAUUAUGCCCUCUUCAGUUCAGAAAUGUGGAGGCACACCACUGACUACACAAUAGCUUAGGCCCACCUUUCAAGUUAUUUCUAAUAUGACUCUUUCAUGGUGUCUUUGCUCCAAAUAAACUGAACUAGUCAGUGUUUCUCCAGUAAUUUUUAUUCUUUUCUGCCUCUCUGACUUUGCUCAAUCUAUUUUUCCACCUGGUAUUCUUUCCUUGGUGUUCAGUCCAAAUCCCAAACACAUCAUUCCCCUUAACCACAUAGGGAGGUGGUGACAUUCUUGCUACUUCCACCAUGGGGCGUACUAAAUAACUGCUUAUUCACUUCAGUCUAUAUUGUCAAGUUGUGAAAACUGAUAUCCUGGAUCAUUAGAAUUCACUGCGUGUCUGUCAGUUAUCAAUAGGCUAAACCGCAGAAAAUAAAGCUAGAAUAUGUCUUUGUAUUGAAUCCAUUUACUCUUUUCUCAAUGUUUGACAUGUAUAAAUAAUACAGAUAUCCUUUGCCAAGAUAUAGAUGUUAGAAUUGUCUCUAUAGACUAAAAGAAAUGCAAGUUGCUUCUUUGUGGAAGCUUUGUGCUUUCUUAAAAUAGGAAACUUUAAGUAGGUGCAGAUUGACAUGUUGAAGCAUUUUGGUGUAACUAUUCUUAAAAAUGCCUAGAGCUUUUACUGUCCAAGUUUUUUUGCUUUUGUUUUUGUUUUGGGGGUUUUUUUUUUUUGGUUUUUUUUUUU